UACGUAGGGGGCAAGCGUUGUCCGGAUUUAUUGGGCGUAAAGAGCGUGUAGGCGGCCUGAAAGGUCAGCUGUGAAAACUCGAGGCUCAACCUCGAGACGUCGGUUGAAACCAUCUGGCUAGAGUCCGGAAGAGGAGUGUGGAAUUCCCGGUGUAGCGGUGAAAUGCGCAGAUAUCGGGAAGAACACCCGUGGCGAAGGCGGCACUCUGGGACGGUACUGACGCGUGAGACGCGAAAGCGUGGGAGCAACAG
Molecule: ribosomal RNA, 251 nt
Filed under: uncultured bacterium
Lineage: Bacteria
Description: partial 16S ribosomal RNA
Rfam family: Bacterial small subunit ribosomal RNA
Source: RNAcentral